This 501-nucleotide long non-coding RNA is filed under the name Theobroma cacao (cacao). RNAcentral's name for it is "long non-coding RNA (TCAC_LNC003131)". The record is from RNAcentral. Lineage: Eukaryota; Viridiplantae; Streptophyta; Magnoliopsida; Malvales; Malvaceae.
UGAAUUUACCAUGUAGUGAGUGAGGAUGAGUUUGAUUUUAUUCUAGGAGAAUUGGUUAAGGAAUAAUGAAUUAUGAGCCUAGAAAAAUAAUGGGAAUUUUCGGAGCAAAAAUACGAAUUUUUACCCACUAGGGGUAUUUUCGUAAUUUACUGUUGGGACUGAUAAUUUGCACCACACUGAGGGACAUUAAGUUAAUUUGGGUGCAAUUGAGGUAUAGAAACUGAAAAGAAUUAAAUUGGAGUUUAAACGGACCCGUUAGGAAUUUAAUCGGGUGAUAAGACGAAUUAGGCCAAUACCGGGUUUAGAUAGUUACCAGUGCAUUUUUGCAUUCCAUAUCAUGCAUUGGUAGUCUAAAUUAGUUUAAUUUUGAUUUAGUACCAACUUGGUGAAACUCUCGAUUUUGUACUGUGUCAAGGUGGUGAGUCCUCCGAUAAAGGCAAGGAAAUUGCAUCCGAGGACCAGUAGACAGAGUGCUUCGAAAGUCUGCAUUCUAGACAUUGU